AUGGCUCAGAGGGUAAAGCAUCUGCCUGCAACGCGGGAGACCUGGGUUCGAUCCCUGGU
RNAcentral lists this transfer RNA (59 nucleotides) under Bos taurus (domestic cattle). It matches the Rfam family "tRNA", at positions 7 to 64 of the family's 71-position model. From Rfam's summary of the family: Transfer RNA (tRNA) molecules are approximately 80 nucleotides in length. Their secondary structure includes four short double-helical elements and three loops (D, anti-codon, and T loops). Further hydrogen bonds mediate the characteristic L-shaped molecular structure. tRNAs have two regions of fundamental functional importance: the anti-codon, which is responsible for specific mRNA codon recognition, and the 3' end, to which the tRNAs corresponding amino acid is attached (by aminoacyl-tRNA synthetases). tRNAs cope with the degeneracy of the genetic code in two manners: having more than one tRNA (with a specific anti-codon) for a particular amino acid; and 'wobble' base-pairing, i.e. permitting non-standard base-pairing at the 3rd anti-codon position. The record is from Rfam by way of RNAcentral. Lineage: Eukaryota; Metazoa; Chordata; Mammalia; Artiodactyla; Bovidae. RNAcentral also lists the same sequence under 3 other names.